GGAAGAGGCUGGUUGGUAAACACGUUUAAAACGAUGUCAUGUUGCUGAAGGUGAAAUACCAGAGUACCAGAAAGUACAUCAGAUUACAGUCAGGUUUCACCUUUUUGGAUUUCAUCAGUGAAGUCAAAAACAAGUUUGGUCUUCCUGACGCCACAGAACUUGACGUUUUUGAUGACACCAACACAGCAGUGGAGGAAGACAUCUUUCUUGAAUUGAUAGAGGUUAAUCCGGAUUUAUGCUUGAUUGUAUGUGACAGAAUUUCAGUUGAAGGUACGUUUCAUUAUAAAAAUCUCUUCAAUAUGAUACACCAAUCGAUAGGGUGGUGUCAUAUUACUUAGAUAAGUUGUCAGUUACUGGAUACAAAAUUAUAUGGCAAUUUUCAUGAUUAAUAAUGCAAGUAGGAUUGGAUUGCAAAUAGGGAAGCUUCCUGAUUACUUAAAAAUCAGAAAUUUAAAAUAAAUAAAAAAUCAUGCAAACACAACAAAUUUGAGUUACCCCACCCCUUUUCUUUUUCUUUAAACAUCUCAAAACAUUUCAGUGUAAAUGAAAAAGAAUAAAACUCCAUUAUGUAAGUCACCAUUAAUGGAACAUGAGUCACUUACUUUGAU
Molecule: long non-coding RNA, 608 nt
Organism: Corythoichthys intestinalis (scribbled pipefish)
Lineage: Eukaryota; Metazoa; Chordata; Actinopteri; Syngnathiformes; Syngnathidae
Exons: 3
Source: RefSeq, a predicted model, not a curated record